Molecule: long non-coding RNA, 4430 nt
Organism: Sapajus apella (tufted capuchin)
Lineage: Eukaryota; Metazoa; Chordata; Mammalia; Primates; Cebidae
Exons: 3
Source: RefSeq, a predicted model, not a curated record
AGACCCUGUCUUAAAAAAAUUCUCCACAGCAGUACCUAGAUUAGUGUUGGUUGAAUAACCAGGGUACAGGAGUCUUGGGGAACCAUCUUUAGAAUUUUGCCAACCACAGGACUGAUGAAGCAGAAAGCCAGAGAACCAGCAAGGAAAGGACCACUUAGGUUCAGUGGACCAGUGCCUCACGGAGCAACAAGCACCCUUCAGGAUCACCUAGUCCUGCCCUUUUAUUCUCUGGAUUGGAACAUCAAUACUUAGAGAGGGGAAGGGAAUUUAUAAUAAAUCUUCUACACAUCCACCUUGGGCCAGAUGUUGUACUAAAUGCUUAUGGAGAAUAUAGAGAUAAAUAAGACUCAGCAUCUGUCCUUAGGAUUUUAUUACCCAUGCAUCCAAAGUCCAUGGAAGUUUUUCUUAAGAAAAUAGUUUAUUUAAUCCUUGGAAAUUAUAGAGUUGUGUGCUAGAAAUGGACCUCACAGAUCAAAUGUUCCAGUGUUUCUUAAGAAUAGAAACAGUGACUUUACGUGACAUGUAGACCAACAUUUUAAAUUGUAAUCAUAAUGUCUUAAUGUUACCUUCUAUUUAUGGCAAAUGAUGCUAUUUUCUCUGCAUUACAAUGACAUAAAGUUUCCUUUUGCCCUCUUUUUUCCUUUUUUCAACUUGCAUUUACGGAUCACUUACUCUAGAAGACAACAGAAGAUGGCACUGAAAGCUUUGGCUCUGGAAAAAGAGUUACCUGGAUACUGAUCCUGACAUCUCUCACUUAAACUCUCCAAGUCUCACUUUCUCAUCAGAUAGUACUUUAAUCAGCAUUUAAUGACCCAGUCGAAAAUUCAUCGUUUGGACCCAAGCACUGGUGGGAAGGCAGGAGGAGAGGCCUGCCUGCCUGCCUUGCUCCCUCCCUCCUGAGCCCUACAGCAGGCCAUGGAGUGGUAGGCUUGGCCCAUUCUCUAGACCUUGGAAGAUAAUGUUCCAUAGAGGCUUGUUCUGAGGCUUUACCAGGACAAACCAGAGAAGAACCAAGCAAUGUAACUCAUCCCAGCCUAACUAUCCUUCAAGGGCAAUCAACCUACAGCAUCCAAGCACAGAGAAAUCAAAUCCAUGGAGAAUCUUUCAGUUAGGCUCAGAAUUUAUUUGGGACACUGGAUUCACUGUUCUCAAGAUCUUAGUUGUAUUCAUCCAUGAUUUGACCUACUUUAGAGUGAGAAGAUAGUCUUCCUGGGCUCAGACUAGUUGAAGGUAAGGAGACAGGCCACUGGGUGUGGGGAGACCUCUCGUGGGAUAAUACACACACAAAACCAAGAGAUGCUCACUGUGGUGCAGGAGACAGCAGGGGCCUGAAGCCAGAGGUUCUCUCUGUGUCCUUGAAUACACUUUACUCCUCUGACCCCUUACUGUGAUUUGGAGAGAGACAGUAUAGGAUGGCCUCUGCAGGCAGGGAGGUCUGGUUAUGGUCCCAGCUCUUCCUAAAUUGGGUAAGACUCAUUCUGAGACUUAGUUUCCUCUAUCAUCUCUCAAUAGAACCAUAAAGGUACUUUCUUCUUAGUAUUGUUUUAAAAUUCAGUAAAAUAAUAAAGGCUUAGCACAGGGUCUGAUAUAAAUUUUCAAUGAAUUAUUGUUGUCAAUAUUGUUCUAGAAAACAAGAGAGCAUAUUAGAAGAUCAAAAGUACUGCCAAUCGCUGAAGUGCCAAUUCUAGAUCCAGUCUCAGCCUUUUGAGAACUGAUAUCAUUGUUUUCAAGCCAUUCAAAAACCAAUGUGAAUUGAACACCUAGUAUGAGCCCUCUGGGGGAAGAGCCAAGUCCUGCAUUUUUUAUCUUAAGGGGUCUUCAGUAACUCUCGCCCACAACAGUAUCUCCAUUAGGAUUCCUCUCUGAUAGUGUUCAUUUCUUUUUUCUCAAUGGAUGCCUUAAAAAAAAAAUCCUUGAAGAAAACCUGUACUCCUCAAAUAUACCACUCAGGAAACCUGUUCUCCUCAAUGGUCACUCAGGUGACCAUUAAAUCAUUUACAUGUUAAUUUCUUUUCAGAUAUGUGUCUUUUUCCCUAGUUACAUAAUGAGAACCUUGAAGGCAGGGACAGAUCUUAGACUUCCUGAUGCCCCCAUACAUCCAGGUACAGAGUAGGUCCCUGGACAUCCGUAUAAGGCCCAUGAGCCUGAUAACUGCCCAGGUAGGUACUGUGUGCCUGGGCCUGGGAAGGACAAAAGAAAGGGCACUAAAGGGGUUCCUGGGAAUGAAGAGGCCCUCUGACUUUAGAAGGGAGCCCAUACACUUUUUGGACUGGAACAAUCAGAAAGUUCUUUCUGGAGCAGCAGCAGCCAGAAAGACCUGGGGCACUGGGUCGACCAAAGCCCUUCCCAAGGCUGCAGUGGCCCCAGCCAGUUAGCCCAGCCUCCCUACCAGCCCCAGGGCUGCAACUGAACAGUGCUGGCCUCUUAAUAAAAACAGCACCAAAGCAAAGCCCUAACUUCACUGGAGAAAUAGCCCUGCGCCCUUCCAUCCAUUAACAUUUUGCACCUUAAUGCAGCCAUAUUUUUGGAAAGCCAAUUCAUAUUGGCUGAGAAGCUUAUUAGUAUGCAGCUCUGGUUAGGGGUGGGGGAUCCUGGGAGGGGGGCACUCUGCAAAGGGGAUGUAAUUAAGCCUCAGAAUGGUCGAUAUAUACACCAAAAGGGGGGGCGGUACUUGGGGGACCUAGAGCAAGACUGAUGGGCUUGUCCAAAAGGUUUGUGUGUAUGAAGGCUUGACCGUUUCUGGGAAGUCCCACCGUGACUGCCACCCUUGCUCACCCCUGGCCCCCACCAGAGCAGGGCCACCCACUCACCCUUUGGGUGUCUAACUUCGAAUUUCCCAAGCAGACCCUAUCGGGCAGCUCUUCUAAAAUAAAAUACAUCAUCAUUUGCUCCAUUAGAAAAUAAAUGUAUGGCUAUAUUAUGGGAUUUGCAUUCCAUUACCUUGGUUUGCAUGCCAUAAAACAUUUAUUACACCCUUGGGCUAAAGUCUUAAUAAUGACUGGGUGUGAGGCACUAAUGUGGUGCUGGUCUUGCUCAGGAACCAGAGAUUAAUGCCUUUUGAUGUCACUCAGCUAAUAGUUGUGCUCACCAAUUUGUCCCAUCAGAAGACAUUAGAGUCAGGCCCUGUGCAAGGGUGGGGGAACCACUGCUCAGCUUCAGCUGGGAAUCGAGGCUCUCUGUUCAAAACUGCCGGAAUGAAAUCUCAGAGUUCCCCCUCUUCAAUCCCCCAUCUACUUCUACCCCCGCCCCAGCCCUGGCCAAGUCCCCACCCCUGGGUGUGAAAACUACAAAAAGAGGUUUAAAUGUCUGCCCUCCUGUCAGACAGCGGCGGAGGUGGCAGCAGUCAUGGGUGGGCAUGGAUAUGUGUGUACGUGCAUACAUACACCACACACACACACACUCCUCCCUUCCCUGUUAAGGAAUUGCUUCACCAGGCCUGCCUCAUUCAGCUACGGAAGCCCAGCAGCUCAGUAGAGGAGGCUCCAGUGCAACUUGACUCCGCAGUUAGACCUAGUCACAGCCCCCAGCCCAGGAGACAGGCCCAGGAUGGCGCCGAGCAGACCCUUUGGGGCUGUAUUGUGGGUCUUUCAUGUCAUCAGAUGACUUGGUUGGAGCAGCCCUGUGGCCAGGCCUUGGGAAAUGUCCUCUUGUGGGUUGCUAUGAUUCUCUGUAGGGUCCUGGUGCAUUCUUCUCAGAGACUAGAGAUCUCCCCACUUCUUUUGCUCAAAGCCAUGGCCGGGAAGUGGCCAGUUACUUAACCCUUCUGUCUCUGUUUCUCCACGUGGAAGUGCUGGCAUUUAGUGUAUAUGUGUGUGAUGUGUGUCCAUGAGCCAGGGGUGCUGUCUGGAUCCUGCAAAUGUGUAGGACAGUUUCGCCCAGUGAAUAAUUCUCCCACAUUCCAUACAACUUUUUAAGUGCCCACCCAGGUCGCUGUGUACUCCACUUCCGUGAUGCAGUAAAUGGCUGUGCAAUGCACAAUCUAUACAACCAUCAGAGAGGUCCUAGGUUUGACAGUCAUCCCAGUGGAAAAACCUGUUUACAGUGACCAGAGCUCUAAAUCUUACUGUUUUACAUAUAAGCAUGGAGUAUUUUUGCAUGGCUCUAAUGCACACUGGAUUUUCUAGGACUGAAACUCUUGUGGCAAUUGAGAAGGAAAUUGUCCUCUGUUCUGCACAGAUCCUUACCAAGCAUUGUGCACCAUUUCAGAAACCACCAUUCAUGUAGCCAUUCUGUGGCCCUUAAGUCAACAGGACACUGCCCUGUGGCAGGCGGCAGUGACAGCAGUUCCACUGUGUGGUUUUGUCUUUAGGUGCAAGCAUUCUACUUUUUAAAUUAUUCCUGAGCAUUUACAUAUUGAAAUAUAUAUUUAAUUAUAACUUACUUUCCUUUGAUUUCUCCUUUAUCUUACAGCUGGGUCAAUAUAUUGAUUU